AACGGAGGGUGCAAGCGUUGUUCGGCAUUACUGGGCGUAAAGCGCGUGCAGGUGGUCUUUUAAGUUCUAUGUGAAAUCCCCGGGCUCAACCUGGGAACUGCAUUUGUGACUGCAUCGCUGGAGUGCGGCAGAGGGGGAUGGAAUUCCGCGUGUAGCAGUGAAAUGCGUAGAUAUGCGGAGGAACACCGAUGGCGAAGGCAAUCCCCUGGGCCUGCACUGACGCUCAUGCACGAAAGCGUGGGGAGCAAACAGG
RNAcentral lists this ribosomal RNA (253 nucleotides) under uncultured bacterium. RNAcentral describes it as "partial 16S ribosomal RNA". It matches the Rfam family "Bacterial small subunit ribosomal RNA", at positions 524 to 776 of the family's 1533-position model. The record is from RNAcentral.